UCAAUGGUGCAACUCAAAAAUAUUUUGUAGUGCGUACGUUGUAACUUAGUGCCCGUUUAAGUCGAACCUACAGUAGGCUAAGUUGUAACUUACGCACAGCUGGUGCAGCCGGCCCCAGGUCAGUAAAAUCAGUCUUGUUUAACUGGAUUUCAUUCAUUAAUUAUAUUUUCGCAAAAGUUUAAGUUGGGGUACUGCAAUGUUCAUUUUCUAUAAAAAAUGCUAACUUACUGUAAAUGAUUGCUAGCAAAUUAUUUUAAAAUAAUGUUAGCACAUGAAAGCAUUGCAAAUAAAUUGUUUACUUUACGUUCUUUGUGUAUGUUUUUGACCAGCAAACUAUGUGUAAUGAAGAAUUGGUGUAAAUUACAGUAGAAGUUAAAGAAUUUCUGUCUGUAAGGAUUUUUUGGUCACCCUAAUAAAAUCACUGGGUCUUACCUGGCCACCUCUAAAAAAAAGUUCUGGCUACGCCCCUGGAUGAUGUAGUUAGCCAUGCAUCUUGGAAGUUGUAGUCGAUUUGCGAAUACAGCAUUAAAUGCGCCCUAUGAAAAGGACUUCAUUUCACAGAAUGCUUCCUCUCACUAGAAGAACCGGAAGUCCGUAAUUCAAUUUCUACCGCGGAACGGAAGCGUCCUUUGUUUUGAUCAAUGAGCUGCAAUACAGUUCGGGUAAAAUGAAAAAAAAAAGAACACGACAGCAGCGCAUCUUUGUGAAACAGCAGACUUAUCUCCAGUCAAAGACAGACUCCCUGAGGCCACCAAAAUGGAAAACCAAUACUUGAUCUUGGAUUAUUUGGUGGAGUGGAUGUGAAGACACAGUCUGGUGAAUGAAGCUGGCAAUAAAAAACCCAGGCCAAAACUGUGAACUGGAGAGAGGUGUAAAUGGGAAAAUAGGAUUCCCAAUUUUGUUGUGAUUGAGGCAGUAAGAGGUCCUUCAUGUGCACAGAUGACUGAGUUGGAAGUCAAAAAAGUUACUAAACUUGGGUUUCAUCUAACUGUUUUCAUCUUUUACAGUGUUGUUUGUAACUUAUUUGUCUAAUACAUAUUUGCACAUCUGUAAACAUACUUUUUGUCUUUAAUUUCUCUUGUUUAUUCAUUCAGUUCAUUUAUUGGUUUCUGUUAUUAAUUGUUUUAUCCACUAAAUAUUUUAAUUGUUUUAAUUUAAUCCUUAAUAUAUGAAUUUAGUGCUUAGUUUAUUGUUGCUUUGUUUUUUGUAUUGUGUUACUAUUUACAGUAUGUGUUGCUUUUAGUUUAUUGUUUGCCAUUAUUUGUUGCGUAGUUUCCAUUGUAUUUUUAUGUUUCUGUUGUAUUGUGUGACUUUGUUUUUGUUGCCUUUUUCUGUUGUCUAAAUGUUAGUGUAAUUGUUUUUUGGCACCUCUUUUGACAUUAUAUUUAUUUUUUGCUGCAUUUGAGUAGAUUUUAUUGUCAGCAUCAAUUAAACACAA
This is a long non-coding RNA of Triplophysa rosa, 1438 nucleotides long. RefSeq lists it as uncharacterized. The record is from RefSeq and is a predicted model, not a curated record. NCBI's taxonomy places the organism in Eukaryota, Metazoa, Chordata, Actinopteri, Cypriniformes, Nemacheilidae. The transcript has 4 exons.